UCUUGGAAAUAAAAAGAGAAUCUACCGGAGUACUAUGAACAAAAAUUUAAAACUCAAAGAGCUUGGCGGUGCUUUAGACUUUUCAGGGGAACCUGUCUUAUAAUCGACAAUCCACGAUAUACCUGACCCUUUUUUGCAUACAAUUUGUAUACCGUCGUCGUCAGGUAACUUUUAAAAAUUUUAACAGUUAGCAAAAAAGUUUUUAAUAAACUUAAACGUCAGAUCAAGGUGCAAUUAAUAAAGGGGGCAAGAUGGGUUACAAUUAUGAAAUAAUAAUACGAAAAAUUAGCUGAAAUGUUGCUUCAAAGGAGGACUUGAAAGUAAAUUACUUUAUAUAUAAUAAUUGAAUAAAGCUCUGAAGCGUGC
Molecule: ribosomal RNA, 366 nt
Filed under: Vexillum scitulum
Lineage: Eukaryota; Metazoa; Mollusca; Gastropoda; Neogastropoda; Costellariidae
Description: partial 12S ribosomal RNA
Source: RNAcentral